GAUGAACGCUGGCGGCGUGCUUAACACAUGCAAGUCGAACGGAAAGGCUCCUGCUUGCAGGGGUACUCGAGUGGCGAACGGGUGAGUAACACGUGGGUGAUCUGCCCUGCACUUCGGGAUAAGCCUGGGAAACUGGGUCUAAUACCGGAUAGGACGAUGGUUUGGAUGCCAUUGUGGAAAGUUUUUUCGGUGUGGGAUGAGCUCGCGGCCUAUCAGCUUGUUGGUGGGGUAAUGGCCUACCAAGGCGUCGACGGGUAGCCGGCCUGAGAGGGUGUACGGCCACAUUGGGACUGAGAUACGGCCCAGACUCCUACGGGAGGCAGCAGUGGGGAAUAUUGCACAAUGGGCGCAAGCCUGAUGCAGCGACGCCGCGUGGGGGAUGACGACCUUCGGGUUGUAAACUCCUUUCGCUAGGGACGAAGCGCAAGUGACGGUACCUGGAGAAGAAGCACCGGCUAACUACGUG
This 466-nucleotide ribosomal RNA is filed under the name uncultured bacterium. RNAcentral's name for it is "partial 16S ribosomal RNA". It matches the Rfam family "Bacterial small subunit ribosomal RNA", at positions 28 to 507 of the family's 1533-position model. The record is from RNAcentral.